GUCAGCUCAACUCUUUCCUCCGAAUCACCUCCCAAGUAGCAACCAUGUAAUUUCAGGAAACCCAAAGCAACUCUUAAGAAGGGCAACGUGAGUGAUCCUUGCACAGGGUGCUGACCUGAAACCUGAAACCUCUGUGGUCCUGUUUUUCAUUUCUCAGGGUGAGGGUGCCUUGCAUUUCCACCAGGGAGCCCUGAAGAAUAGUUCCUGCUGCCAUUGUCCUCUGCAGAGAGCAUCCUGCAGUUCCCACAGCAGGACUGCCGCUGCACUUAGGGCUUGCCAACAUUCUUCUGACUUCCAACCUGUCUUCAGCAGCGGGGGUGCUGGUUUCCCUUCAUAUUCUUCGCUCAUGGAAAGACCUAAGCUGACUUAUCUGUAGACUGGGCCAUUCUCAGGGAAGCCAGAUAACUCCGUGGGAUUGCCUUUAAAAACAUUACAGAAAUCUCCAUUCUGCAAAUCUAAAGAUAAAACUUCAUUUUCUGGACAAGCUGAGCUCUCAUGCAAGAGUGCAAGCAGGUUCAGUCUCAGAAGGGCAGACUUAUAGUAACCGAACUCAUUUGUAAACUGAGCAACCAAGCCCAUUUUUAAGAUCCAGAACCACUGAAGAAACUCAAGCAGUGCUCUUGGCUCUUGGCUCUUAGCUGGUGCACUCUCCCUCUGGGGGCCUACAGGAGGUCCCAAUUAUCAUUAGUGGUUGCUUGAUGAGGGUGGCUUCCAGACGCUUCUGAGUACUGACAACAGUGUGCUCUGCUGCCAAGGCAUCCUGCCUCCCUAUGGAGAACAUGGAGUAGUCAUUUAAUACCUGCCACCCAAGGGACUGGAUGGAAGAAGGGCAGGCUUCAGAGGAUUUAUACUCUGAAGACAGUUAUGUUUGAUCUGAAAAUGAAAAAGUGGUGGGGAACCAGCACAAAGGCACUGUGUAUAAAUCAGGAAACAAGCCCUCACCAGAUACCAAGUCUACUGGCACCUUGAUCUUGGACUUCCCAUCCUCCAGAACUGUGAGAAAUAAAUUUCUGUUGUUUAUAAGUCACCCACUCCAUGGUAUUUUGUUAUGGCAGCCUGAACAGACUAAGAUAAAAUAUGACUUCCCAUUCUACAGAUAGAAAAGCUGAUGAGCAGAGAAGAUAAUUAACUUGCCUAAUGGAUACCUAGCUAGUAAGAAAGAGUGAGUGAGCUGGGACUUAAAUCCAGAGGCUGUGUUUCUGACAUCCCACAUUAAAAGCUAUUUCCCAUGUCUCCACUCCUGACCCCAGUAAAGCUAUUUCCACCCAUAUCUUUUCUGCCAGACAAUCUCAUAAGCCUCCUGACCAUUAGUUUUGCACCACAAAAU
This 1327-nucleotide long non-coding RNA is filed under the name Homo sapiens (human). Its description in RNAcentral is "HSALNT0139242". Lineage: Eukaryota; Metazoa; Chordata; Mammalia; Primates; Hominidae. The record is from RNAcentral.